UUAAGCGACUAAGCGUACACGGUGGAUGCCCUGGCAGUCAGAGGCGAUGAAGGACGUGCUAAUCUGCGAUAAGCGUCGGUAAGGUGAUAUGAACCGUUAUAACCGGCGAUUUCCGAAUGGGGAAACCCAGUGUGUUUCGACACACUAUCAUUAACUGAAUCCAUAGGUUAAUGAGGCGAACCGGGGGAACUGAAACAUCUAAGUACCCCGAGGAAAAGAAAUCAACCGAGAUUCCCCCAGUAGCGGCGAGCGAACGGGGAGCAGCCCAGAGCCUGAAUCAGUGUGUGUGUUAGUGGAAGCGUCUGGAAAGGCGUGCGAUACAGGGUGACAGCCCCGUACACAAAAAUGCACAUGCUGUGAGCUCGAUGAGUAGGGCGGGACACGUGGUAUCCUGUCUGAAUAUGGGGGGACCAUCCUCCAAGGCUAAAUACUCCUGACUGACCGAUAGUGAACCAGUACCGUGAGGGAAAGGCGAAAAGAACCCCGGCGAGGGGAGUGAAAAAGAACCUGAAACCGUGUACGUACAAGCAGUGGGAGCCUCUUUUAUGGGGUGACUGCGUACCUUUUGUAUAAUGGGUCAGCGACUUAUAUUCUGUAGCAAGGUUAACCGAAUAGGGGAGCCGAAGGGAAACCGAGUCUUAACUGGGCGUUAAGUUGCAGGGUAUAGACCCGAAACCCGGUGAUCUAGCCAUGGGCAGGUUGAAGGUUGGGUAACACUAACUGGAGGACCGAACCGACUAAUGUUGAAAAAUUAGCGGAUGACUUGUGGCUGGGGGUGAAAGGCCAAUCAAACCGGGAGAUAGCUGGUUCUCCCCGAAAGCUAUUUAGGUAGCGCCUCGUGAAUUCAUCUCCGGGGGUAGAGCACUGUUUCGGCAAGGGGGUCAUCCCGACUUACCAACCCGAUGCAAACUGCGAAUACCGGAGAAUGUUAUCACGGGAGACACACGGCGGGUGCUAACGUCCGUCGUGAAGAGGGAAACAACCCAGACCGCCAGCUAAGGUCCCAAAGUCAUGGUUAAGUGGGAAACGAUGUGGGAAGGCCCAGACAGCCAGGAUGUUGGCUUAGAAGCAGCCAUCAUUUAAAGAAAGCGUAAUAGCUCACUGGUCGAGUCGGCCUGCGCGGAAGAUGUAACGGGGCUAAACCAUGCACCGAAGCUGCGGCAGCGACGCUUAUGCGUUGUUGGGUAGGGGAGCGUUCUGUAAGCCUGCGAAGGUGUGCUGUGAGGCAUGCUGGAGGUAUCAGAAGUGCGAAUGCUGACAUAAGUAACGAUAAAGCGGGUGAAAAGCCCGCUCGCCGGAAGACCAAGGGUUCCUGUCCAACGUUAAUCGGGGCAGGGUGAGUCGACCCCUAAGGCGAGGCCGAAAGGCGUAGUCGAUGGGAAACAGGUUAAUAUUCCUGUACUUGGUGUUACUGCGAAGGGGGGACGGAGAAGGCUAUGUUGGCCGGGCGACGGUUGUCCCGGUUUAAGCGUGUAGGCUGGUUUUCCAGGCAAAUCCGGAAAAUCAAGGCUGAGGCGUGAUGACGAGGCACUACGGUGCUGAAGCAACAAAUGCCCUGCUUCCAGGAAAAGCCUCUAAGCAUCAGGUAACAUCAAAUCGUACCCCAAACCGACACAGGUGGUCAGGUAGAGAAUACCAAGGCGCUUGAGAGAACUCGGGUGAAGGAACUAGGCAAAAUGGUGCCGUAACUUCGGGAGAAGGCACGCUGAUAUGUAGGUGAAGUCCCUCGCGGAUGGAGCUGAAAUCAGUCGAAGAUACCAGCUGGCUGCAACUGUUUAUUAAAAACACAGCACUGUGCAAACACGAAAGUGGACGUAUACGGUGUGACGCCUGCCCGGUGCCGGAAGGUUAAUUGAUGGGGUUAGCGCAAGCGAAGCUCUUGAUCGAAGCCCCGGUAAACGGCGGCCGUAACUAUAACGGUCCUAAGGUAGCGAAAUUCCUUGUCGGGUAAGUUCCGACCUGCACGAAUGGCGUAAUGAUGGCCAGGCUGUCUCCACCCGAGACUCAGUGAAAUUGAACUCGCUGUGAAGAUGCAGUGUACCCGCGGCAAGACGGAAAGACCCCGUGAACCUUUACUAUAGCUUGACACUGAACAUUGAGCCUUGAUGUGUAGGAUAGGUGGGAGGCUUUGAAGUGUGGACGCCAGUCUGCAUGGAGCCGACCUUGAAAUACCACCCUUUAAUGUUUGAUGUUCUAACGUUGACCCGUGAUCCGGGUUGCGGACAGUGUCUGGUGGGUAGUUUGACUGGGGCGGUCUCCUCCUAAAGAGUAACGGAGGAGCACGAAGGUUGGCUAAUCCUGGUCGGACAUCAGGAGGUUAGUGCAAUGGCAUAAGCCAGCUUGACUGCGAGCGUGACGGCGCGAGCAGGUGCGAAAGCAGGUCAUAGUGAUCCGGUGGUUCUGAAUGGAAGGGCCAUCGCUCAACGGAUAAAAGGUACUCCGGGGAUAACAGGCUGAUACCGCCCAAGAGUUCAUAUCGACGGCGGUGUUUGGCACCUCGAUGUCGGCUCAUCACAUCCUGGGGCUGAAGUAGGUCCCAAGGGUAUGGCUGUUCGCCAUUUAAAGUGGUACGCGAGCUGGGUUUAGAACGUCGUGAGACAGUUCGGUCCCUAUCUGCCGUGGGCGCUGGAGAACUGAGGGGGGCUGCUCCUAGUACGAGAGGACCGGAGUGGACGCAUCACUGGUGUUCGGGUUGUCAUGCCAAUGGCACUGCCCGGUAGCUAAAUGCGGAAGAGAUAAGUGCUGAAAGCAUCUAAGCACGAAACUUGCCCCGAGAUGAGUUCUCCCUGACCCUUUAAGGGUCCUGAAGGAACGUUGAAGACGACGACGUUGAUAGGCCGGGUGUGUAAGCGCAGCGAUGCGUUGAGCUAACCGGUACUAAUGAACCGUGAGGCUUAACCU
This 2901-nucleotide ribosomal RNA is filed under the name Escherichia coli. RNAcentral's name for it is "23S ribosomal RNA". It matches the Rfam family "Bacterial large subunit ribosomal RNA". The record is from RNAcentral. Lineage: Bacteria; Pseudomonadati; Pseudomonadota; Gammaproteobacteria; Enterobacterales; Enterobacteriaceae.